This 433-nucleotide ribosomal RNA is filed under the name uncultured bacterium. RNAcentral's name for it is "partial 16S ribosomal RNA". It matches the Rfam family "Bacterial small subunit ribosomal RNA", at positions 29 to 507 of the family's 1533-position model. The record is from RNAcentral.
AACGAACGCUGGCGGCAUGCCUAACACAUGCAAGUCGAACGAGACCUUCGGGUCUAGUGGCGCACGGGUGCGUAACGCGUGGGAACCUGCCCUUAGGUUCGGAAUAACUCCCCGAAAGGGGUGCUAAUACCGGAUAAUGUCUUCGGACCAAAGAUUUAUCGCCUUUGGAUGGGCCCGCGUUGGAUUAUCUAGUCGGUAGGGUAAAAGCCUACCAAGGCGACGAUCCAUAGCUGGUCUGAGAGGAUGAUCAGCCACACUGGGACUGAGACACGGCCCAGACUCCUACGGGAGGCAGCAGUAGGGAAUAUUGGACAAUGAGCGAAAACCUGAUCCAGCAAUGCCGCGUGAGUGAUGAAGGCCUUAGGGUUGUAAAGCUCUUUUACCCGGGAUGAUAAUGACAGUACCGGGAGAAUAAGCUCCGGCUAACUCCGUG